GGUGUAGGCGUGUCUCCGCCAGUCUGUCCCUCCUGCUGAGAUCGCCAAGGUUAUCGAAGUCCCGCGACCUCUCUUCGGACUACUUUGCACUCUGCCGCCACCAGCUGCCUUCCGACCUUUGCACUAUGACCCCUCACACUACCCACUCUCUUCUGCACACGCCCUCCUCUUAGGUUCCUGAACCCUGAGCCUGGGCGGGAUCACGCUGAAGACGUGGUGGGACCUGAGUGCUGAGACGCAAAGUACAGAACCUCUACUAAAGGAAACGUCUGGAAACUCCUCUGGGGAGAUCUGCCGCAUGGCCUCUGGAGUGAACCCUAGACUCCCAUACAUUCUUCCAGAGUCCUUCUUUUGCUGGAUGUUAUGAGAAAUGACAUUCAUCAUUCUCCCAAAUACAUAAUUUGAACCCCAAGCACAAUGUUCUUCGUUAAAUCCCUGCCUUUAGAGAACGCAACACAUGAAAUCAGAAUUUACCACACAAGUAAUUUAGGGAAGGGGAUUAUUUGUGACACAGACCACUCAUCACUUUGUCAAAGAACUUGCUACUGAUUACUUUAAAUGCCAGUCUUCCAGAGUAUUCUUAAGAUGUGGUUUCAUUUGAAAGGUAUUCUUUGCACUUUUGUUUUUUCUGGAGCAAUUUUGUGGUGCACAGAGAGAGGACCUAAUUGGAGGAGGUUUUGGUGACUGUCAAUGUAUUAUUACUCUUCAGGCCUGUGUUGCCGCCCUCACAGUGCCCCCCACCCUGGGCAGCAGUGGAGGGCCGCCCUGGAGUGUCUGGUGAACUGAGGCCAGGGUUACACCUGGCAUGGCUGAUGUGGCUUGGGGGAGCCAGGAAUGAUAAAGGCCACUCAUCCAUGUCACACUCUGGGCUACUCACUCUUCUUUACUCUUCACCACAUAACCAUGGUUGGAAUGUUGGUUUAUUCCCAUUUCCCACAGAAGAAAACUGAGGCUCAGAAUGGUUAAGCCUAAGACCUCAGCCCACCAUCCCAGUUCUCAUCUGAAGAAGAGAAAGCAGAAAUGGGCCCACUCACCCUACAGAUUCUUGGAGGUCUGGCUCACUAAACCCUGAGAAAGCCCCCCAUGCCUCCUCAGACCACUCAGAAACUAUAUGACCCCUGCAAGGAGUCUGGUUAGAACAAGGGCCUACAGGGAAAACAAGUCAAAGGGCAGCAUGAGCCUGGUUCAGUGGGAGGGCCGUCAGCCUUGACAGCCACACGUUGGCCGGCAUUUGUGCAGACGUGUGUUUGUGCACACAGGGGCAAGGGUGCAGUUGGGGACAAGGGUCAUUUCUACAAAUGGAAAAGCUGUAGUCUCCUCACAGCCUCACCACAGAGAAAGGAAAGCCAGACGAAACCUGAACGACUGGACCACAGCAAGCCCUGCCCCAGCAGCGAGCCAGUGAGGCACUCCCUGUGAGAGAUGAGAAGAGCCACCUGGGCACAUGAGGCUGGGGUGGUAACGAGACAAUUCAGCAUCGCCCCUUUGCUUAGGGACCCCGGCUGGAGGCAGCACCCCUCAUUCUGCAAUUCUGGCUUGCUUGGAGCUGACCCGGGUUGUGGCGCUGAAAGCCUCGCGUCCCUGGAUACCCCUUGGUCCCAUGCAAACUGGGACAGUUGGUCAUGUGGCUAUGGAGCUCCUCUUUGCAAGCACCCCAGCCUGCCCAUAGCCAGAGCGGUGUUGUUGGUAAGUGGUGCCAACCCUUGAGUGUGGUCCUCGGACAGCGACCACGCCGUCCUCUGGGGGCUUGUUAGAAAUGCAGACUCCCGGGCUGCUCCCCAGACCUGCCCUUUAACACAGAGCUCGGGUGACUCCCGUGCAGGCUCAAGUUGGGAACAAUGACUUCGGCCUCGCUUUGCUCGGAAACGCCACGCGGACAGCGUCUGCUUCUGAGGCACCCUUUCCUGGGAGCCCCCGAUCAGACCUGGGCCCAAGCUUUGGGAAGGCCAGGAAAGCACUCGACCCAGCUGGUCGGUGACAGCCUCUCAGGGAGGCUCCCGAGGGGCAGCAGGCCUGCAGAGCGGCGGCGCCAGCCUUUUCUCCCUGAGAAUACAGGGGAGAGCAGAGCCGGAGGACUGGCCUCGCAUCUGCUCUAACUUAAAUAUGGAAGACGAUGAAUGCGUCCAAGCGUUGGCACCGUAACUUCAUAUGAUUAGCAGGACAGUACGGGCGACGCCUCCUAUCUGAUCUCAAUAUCCUAUGGUUCUCAACUUGAGUGCCGAUCAGAAGCCCUAUGGGGCUUGUUCUCCUAAAAACAAAAAUGCCAGGACCACACCUGGGACCUUCUGCAUCAGGGUCUCUGGCGAGGGCCCGGGUUUCUGUGACCUGGGGACAUCCCACCAGUGGUUCUGGGGGGUAUCCAGGGACCAGAACCGCUAGGAGCACUGCCUGCAGCCGGCUCAGCCCUGCCCUGUCUCUGCCAUCCUGCCUGUCACCAGAUGAAGGUGUCCUUCCCUCCCUCUGGAAAGCACUGAAGAGAUGCCUGGCCCCUCACCUAUGUAGUCCAGCAUACUCUUUUGGAAGAGGGGUGGAGGUGGGAGAGAAGGAGAGGAUGGUGAGAGACUAGACUCUAGAGGACCCAAACCUUGGGGGUGCCUAGAUGUGCAGUGUCCCAAUAUAGAAACCUUGACCCCAUGACUGAAAGAUUCACAGCAAACUUCUGCUUUCUGGGGAACAGACAGGUUCCUGAACGUGCCUCAGGACCUGACUGACCCUUGAGCUGGGUUUUGAAGGUCAAGUAGGAGUUAGCCAAGGAGCUGAGGCCAGGGUGGAGGGUAGUGCCAGGGGCAUAGAGAACAGAGGGGCAGCCGUGGGUGUGUGUGACGAUGCUAUUCUAGCAAGAGGCUGAAGCAGGCCUUACAGGUCUUGAAUCUUGGGAGGUUAUGCUCCAUCCUGACGGUGACAGGGAGCCACUGAAGGGGCUCAGCAGGAGGAAGGGAGCAUCGUCAGAUGUGCACUGACACAGACCACAUCAGGGUUGGAGAAAGAUUCCAUGCCCAGAGGCAGGGCCUCCAAAGAAGAGAUUGUUGUGGGAUCCGGGGCAUUUGAAGGCCCCUAAACCAAGACAAUAGCCACAGAGAGGAGAGGACACCCUCCGAUCAUGUUUAGAAGAUAGAACGACUGGGCCACUGUGGCUUGAACGUGAGCAGUAAAUGGGAGGGAGGAGUGGAGACAGAAGCCCAGGUUCCUGGAUGCACCACCUGGCGAAUGACCGUGCUGCGUAGACAUCAGCGGGAAGGAGGGAAGCCUGCGGAGGAGGGGGUCAGGCCCUCCCACUGGAGAUGCCUUUGUGCAGUGGACAGACGACCCGGGGAGGAGAGAAAUAGAGAUCUGGAGUCAGCAGCAGGGAUUUCAAGGAGGAACCAACCCCGCUGACACCUGGAUCUUGGACGUCCAGCUUCCAGACUGUGGGGCAGUUUCUUGAUUAAGCCACCCCGCGUGUGGAGUUUGUAACGGCAGCCCCAGCAGCCGGUUUGCCUCUGUCCGGUGUGAAGAGGCGACCUCUUCCAAGAAGGGACAGGGGGAUGCCGAGGGUCCCAGAACAGUUGUUCUUCUGAUGUAUCUGUCCGGCCAAGUUAACAGUCCAGCUUCUCAGCAAGUCCCGCUCCUCCCUGCUCCCGGCCUGUCCCUGAGUCUGUCCCGAGCUGGUUCAUUCACUUAUUCACGUGCUGGUCCACCAUCGCUGGUUUACUGGGGCAUUCCGUUCAUUCUUCUUGUCCGCCUUUUGUGAGCCAGCCACUGUUCCAGAUGCUGGGUGUGCAGUGGGGGGCCUGUCCUCAGGGCACUUCCGUUGCAGUGGGAGCCAGGGCAUUAGCAGUGACAGGAGCAAGGUGCCAGGAGCGGCUCGCUGGGGGUCUUGCUGUCCCAGCGAACCCUGACCCUGACCUCCCGCUUCCAUGUGAGCACAAAGAGGGCUCGGGUGUGUAUAAACAGCCUCGUCACGCUGCUAAGUGUUCUGCGGGUCAUGAGAGGUUGUGCAUCGCGAGUACAGAUGGGGACCUUCGUGUGUGCCCCCUCUGCAAGCCCCGUCUUGGGGAGAGGAACGAGGGACUCUGUGGCCCCGGUGGCAUGGAUGUGUGACACCCGCCAGGGCUGGAUGUUCUACGUAAAGACCACAGGUGACAACACCAGAGGGUCGCCGGGGACUCAGGGGGUCUCUUCAGGAGAUUGGGGGUCGCAGGUGUUGUGCAGGGCAGGGCGACUCAAAGCAUGCCUCCUGGGAUCACCAGUGCCACCUGGGACCUUUUGAGAGAUGCAAAUUCAGGCUCCACCCCAGACCUACUGAAUCAGGAACUCCGGGGUGGGGCUCCCCCGGGACUGCUGAUGCGCCCAGAAGUUGAGAAACACUGUUACUGGGGACAAGCGUGGCUCUGGGGGCAAACGGGUCCAAUUUGAGAACUGGCCUUCUGCUUACUGAGGUUUUGUUCUCUUAUAUUUAAUAAGGGCAUAAAAAAAAGCACCUAACUCCUCCCACCAACUUCCAAAGCUGUGAAUAGUGUACUAGAUAAUGCGUGUGAGUGUGGGGUCCAGUACAAAGGCAGGAAACACUAGCUAGUUAUUCUUUUAUUAUAAUUAUUAUUUUCCUAUCUGCUUAUGGAAAGCAGGCCUUCCUACCCAAAGUGUUGGAGCAUCGGGAGCUGGUUAGAAACCCUCAGCGUGACCCCAGCCCUCUCUCAAACUGGCUGCCUGGCUGGCUCGGUGCUCUCGCCACCCAGGAGGACUGGGGAGGCUGGCUUGCUCGGGGCCCUAGAGGCCUGAGGGCUUAUAAGCCAAGAGUUGUCAGGAAUCUGGGCCCCAACCUGCUCCAGGAAGUCUGGCCUAAGAUAAGGCAACACCAUCAUUACCCCCCCAGACAGUGCAAACUCAGGGCCUCUGCAGGAUCCAAACAAGGAAGCCUGGUGGCAUUUUGGGGAGGACAGGUUCUGAGGGGAAGAGCAAGGUGCUCAAUAGGUUUGUGUGUGAAGUGGAGUCAGCCAUAAAGAUUUCCUAGGAGCCGGGGCGGCCCGGGGCUCCAGGCACCAGGGAGGGCGGGAGUGUGGUCUUAGUGUUCCUAUUGUCCCACCGACUUCUUGAUUAGGGCUUCCCUCUGAGCACCUCGCUUUGUGACCCAGAGAGCAGAAGGUUGUUGAAAGCUGUAAUAAAGCUCCGAGCUUGAACCAGCUUUGCCGCUGCUGGGGACAGUUCAGAAAGGCCACGGGAGACAUGCACACUCAGCGAGCUCACAGGCAUUUCCACGGGCAUUUCCUGCCCUGCCCCACUCCUUCAUCAGGAAGCUUUACUGGGUGAGGCUGGACUUGGGGGUGGGGGGGGGGCAUGGCCUUGGACUCCCAGGCCUGCUUACAUGGCACGACCAGUCCAGCCUCUUCUUGCACAGGGGCCGAGGUGGGGCCUACACACCUCAUCCUAGGACUGAGGCUUUUCACUAGCUCCUUUCCAAGAUUUCCUGGGAGAUAAUCCAGGUGUUGGGCCAGUUUGUCAGGAUCAUGAAGAGGCUGGGAUACAGUGGCCUCCCCUGAGCUCAAAGGGCUUUGGCCCUAUCUGCACGGGUGACACCUUCCUGGUCUGCUCUUGAGUUCAGUCUCCUUCUGUGGUGGGCUCUGACCCCUUUCCCAACCGUGACCCACCCCAACCCCUGCAGAGAUAACUAUCAGCGAUAUUCCCUCAGUUGGCUUUCCUGGCUUCCCCUCUGGGGCUCACCGAAUGGGGUGAGAACACUAACAUUCCCGCAAAAGAUAUGCUCGGGCACCGACAAAUCAGAGAGAGGAAAUAAAGGUUAUAUAUUCCUGUCAACCUUCCAUUCAGAUAUAUAUUUUCCUCCCAUCAUCCUUGCUUUUAUUUUAUUAUUUAUAUGUCUCUAUUAUUAUCUGGAUUCUUAAAAACGAUCUGAAAUUGUUUAGGAAAAAGACAUUUUUAGUGGUAAUCUACUUCUUAUGUCAAAGGGGGAUGAGAUGUGGGGAAGAAGAUUAACCCCCAAGUCAGGCCACAGUCACGGCUUAGACACAGGGAAAGGGAUGGAGGGGUCUGUGCUGAGUUGACUGUUGUGACCACCCAGGUUCUUGACUCUCUUCCUUCCCGUCCCUGCCCCCUCUUCCUGGUCCCUCCCCAAGAAAGAGGGGCAGAUGCCACUUGGGGAGAGACGUUUCUCUCCCUCUGCUCCUUUGCUCCUCAGGGGUAAGGGAAGAGCUAAGGGAAGCAGUUAGCCCCACUGGCCCCACCCAGGCCCUUCAUGGAAUGUGGCUUCUUGGCUCACCCACCUUCACACAACCUUCUGACACCCUCUCUCCCCAGCCUGUCCUGGUCUCAGGUCAUUUGGUGGCCCCUAAGCCUUCAGCUGUGGGCCUAUAAACCUUCCCCAUACACUGGUACUCCGGUCUUCCGUCUGAGCCCAUCGCCCCAGCCUCUAAGCUGUCUCCCCCCGAAAACCCUGGGCAGACUGCGCAUUGCCGUUGCCGAUAAACCCUGAACCCGAAUCUACAGCCAUGCACGCAUCUUGUGUUGUUCCGGAAGGACUCGGGGCUUCGGGCUUGGUCUGUGUGAUGUCUCUUCGGGAGAGAAUGUAUAUGGCACGGUGUGAAAGAGCCCGCCCACUUGGGUUUGGUCCGCUGUCCACUGCGUGCCCUUGGGCACAUCUCAUCGGUCUUUGUUGGUGGUGGUUUCGUUGUGGUAAAGUACACAUUUACCAUCUUAAUUAUUUUAAGGUAUACAGUUCUGUGGCAGGAAAUACAUUCAUGUUGUUGUGCAAAUCACCACCACCCAGCUCCAGAACUCAUCUUACAAAACGGAAACUCUGGAAAGUUCUGACAACAUGGUAUAGCAUGGAUGAAACUUGACGACAUUAUACUAAGUGAAGUAAGUCACAGAAGGACAAAUACUGCAUGAUUCCACUCCUAGGAGGUAACGAGAGUUGUCAAAUUCAUAGACACAGAGAGUGGAAUGCCAGGGGCCAGGGGCUGGGCAGAGGGGGAAGUGAGGUGGUGGUACUGAAUGGGGACAGAGUUUCAGUUUGAGUCUUGGAGGUUGGGUGCAGAACAGUGUGAAUAUAUUUAACACAAAUGAACUGACACUUGAAGAUGGCUAAGGAGGUAAAUUUUAUGUUUUAUGUAAUUUACCGCAAUUAAAAAUUUUUAAACUAAAAAUAAAUUUUAAAAAAAUGGAAACUGUACCUUUACCCCAUUUCUAUUUGCCUCAGUUUACUCAUUUGUCAAAUAGGAAUAAUCAUUCUCCCCAUCUUGGAGGGGUGUUGUAAAGAUCCGCUGGGGGAUGUAUAGGAAGGGUUCACAUCGGUGCCUGGCCACCUGAGAGCCCCAUGUCAGCUCUUACUAGUGUUUCCUGUUGAGCAGGGUGGGAAGGGGGAGGUUAGUAGAGAAAAGGGACAGGGAUGAUAGGAUAGAGUGGGGAAGUGUGAGGGAGGGGAGUCAGUCCCAGGACCUUGGGAAUCUAUCCCCCGAGAUAGAGGAAUUCCUUAAGGCUUAUUGACCUGAAUGCCUGGGUCCCAGAAGAACAGCUGAGUGGGCCGAUUAUGCAAACACUGAUCAUUUGAAUUUGUGAUCAUGCAUAUACAGUAGGCUGGAAUUUCGGAGUCUCCUACCUAGCAGAAGGGUAAGCUGAGCUCAGUUUGGGCACAAAUCAGAGAGGUCGAGUACAUGGGAGAUUUUUAAAUUUCUUAACGGAAUAAACUACCUCCAAGCCCUGAAACAGGGUUGCUGGCAAUAUGGUUGCAAAGUGUCUUACCUUCCAGUUCAGUACCCUCAGAGCAAUUUUGAAAAACAUUUCCAUAAAAAAAACCCUUAUGAAACUAUAAAUGUAAUUACAUGUAAUAAGAAAAAAAUCAAAUCCUUAAAAAUCUGAGUAUGGUCCCCCAUUACAUUGGGGUGUCACCUGGGUGAAGCCCGGGUUCCUGGACUCUCUCCUCCUUAUAGCACCCCCCAUGACUGCAGGACAGCAACUAAGCAGAGCCCCCCAGUCCUGUGGAAAGAUCCAGCUGCGGAUGGGCAGCAAAGAUGAAUGAAAUGAAAAAAGGAGAUUAGUCCAAAGGGUUUUAGAGCAUCUGUCGGACCAAAUGUUUCCUGAUGUUUGUAUGAAUUCUCUCGGGCUCUUGCUCCAAGGACUGUAAUGACCUCAUUCCCCGCUGACUUUGUCCUCCAGCCAGACCGCAGGCAAGCCCAGGUGGUCUUCUGUUGCAGGAGCUGAGGAGUGGGGACAGGCUGCCUCCUGUCCUCAGGGUGUGUGUAUGGAUGGGGGUCAGUGAGCACAGUGCCUGGGUGUGAGGGCUGUGGGACCCCUCAGCCUCUCCCCCUUCCCUCCGUCCUCCAUCCUUAGGCAAUGGAUGCGGCAGUAAGGCUGGGAAUGCUGGAGAUACCGGUGCUUUUCUGUUCUAUAGCUUUAUCGGGUUUAACUGACGUACAAUACAUGACACACAUUUGAAGUGUGCAUUUUGAGAAGUUUUGACAUACAUAUACACCCAUGAAACCGUUACCAGGAGAUACAUAUCCACCCUCUGCACCCUGUGCCCCUCCCAGGCAACCACGGAUCUGCUUUUUGCCUCUAUACAUUCUUUCCAUUUUACAGAAUUUUAUUUAAAUGGAAGGGUACAUUAUGUCCUUCUUUGGUCCAGACUCUUUCACUCUGCAUCAUUAUUUUUUCAGAUUCAUCCAUGGUCACGUGUAUCACCUGUUCAUUUCUUUUUAAUUCUGUCAUUUGUUUAUCCAUUCGAGUGUGGAUGGGCAUUUGUAGACAAGACUUUGUGUGGACAGAUGCUUUCAUUUCUUCUGGGUAAAUAGCUAGGAGUGUAAUAACUGGAUCAUGUGAUAAGUCCAUGUUUAUUUAAGAAAUUACCUCACCGUUUUCCAAAGCGGCUGUGCCAUUUUAUGUUCCCACCAGCAGCACGCGAGAAUUCCAGUUGCUCCGCAUUCUUACCAGCAUUUGCUGCUGAAGGCCUGUAAUUGUAUACAUUCUAAUAGACGUUCACUAGUAUCUUGUGGUUUUGAUUUGCAUUUCCCUAACUAAUGAUUUUGAGCCUCUUUUCAUGUCCUUA
Ailuropoda melanoleuca (giant panda) is the source of this 9034-nucleotide long non-coding RNA. RefSeq lists it as uncharacterized. The record is from RefSeq and is a predicted model, not a curated record. NCBI's taxonomy places the organism in Eukaryota, Metazoa, Chordata, Mammalia, Carnivora, Ursidae. The transcript has 3 exons.